GGGAUGGCUUAUAUGGGUCAGUAGAAUUCUUUGUUGUAUUAAGAACAGCUUAAUCUGGUGGCAUCGACUGUUUAAUUUUGGCUCAUACAUCUAGUUUUUGAGCUAGUGAGAUCAUAAAUUUUAUAAUUCAAUUUCCAUGAGGCCAAAACCUGCAACUUAUUUUCUAUGCUAAUUAGAAUUUCCAUACAACCUUAUCCAAUUGUCUUCAGAAAUUAUCAUCUGAUUCACUAGAAGAUGGAGUCCUUGAUGAAUCUGAUAUCAAAUGUAUACGGAAGUCUGGGAAUUUCAGUGGAGCUCUUAUUGGUAGUAAUGGUGGUGACGCUGAACCUGAAUUUGCUGCCAAUGCCAAAUUCUUCUUCUGGAUCUUUUGAGAAAUGUCCACGCAGACUUGAUCAACCAUGUCAAGGAAAUCUCUCACAAUGACAAAUAGUUGAAGGUCCAAUCUGUCAUGCUUGCAAUCUCCUGCUUGAUAAUAUUCUGUUGUUCUCUUCACAAGCUCCAGAAUUCUUGUUUGCUCCUCUGCGACUAUGUGAAGCUCCUCCUCACACUCCUCUAAAAAUCCUUUCAUUUCUCUCACAAAACCAUCUUCCUCACCAUUGCUGCAGCAUGCAAUGAGCAGCUGAAUUUCUGUGACACAGGAUGUAAGAGAGGAACAUGUGUUGAUGAAACUAUCAUAUUCUAUGGUGGCAGCUUUCUUUACAUUGGAGAAUUCAAUUCUCAAACCCCCCAUUUCUUGUAAUCCUAGCAGUACAUAUUCUUUCUCUCUCUCUGCUGCUGCUAGAGUAUCUGAAUUUAAAUCACUGUUCCUUCUUCCUUGACUAUCAUUUCUGUCAAGACUUCUGUUCCGUUUUAGCACAUGUCGUUUACCUUCUGAUCGAGCUACUUGUUCCACCAAAAAAUGAAGUAAAGUAGUCUUGCCAUCGGUGCUUUUAAUAUCAGAUAGUUUUCUAAGAGCAGUAAGGUUGAAACCUUGUGCAUUGCCUCUGGAUGUCCCAGCAUUCAUCCUAUUGCCUGCCUUGAGAAUGGCUUCAAGAAGUUUUAAGAAGAGGCCUCGGGUUCGUAGUGCUUGGCAUCCCAUUUCAAGCGUUUGUAAGGAUUCCUUGAGAUGGAGAAUUUCUGCAUCAUAAUUUGAUCUGAAUAGCAUUGCAUUGAUCCUGAGGAAUGCUGAGGGAACAGCUUUCAGGAUAUGGUAAAGGAAAGAUUCAGCAUCUGCAAGUUUACUUGGGUUGUCUAUGAAUUGGAGGAUUUUGGCUUCUUCUUCCUGGGUUGGAGCAAUUCUAGCAAGCUUUUCAAGGAUAUCAGUGGUAAGACCUUGGCCCUCAAGAAGAGAAUCAAGGAUUUCUUUGCGAGAAAUUGCUAAUGAUUUUAGCACAAUUGCCUUGUUCUGGGACUUCCGGGGCUCAAGGAUGAAAAUUUGAGCUGUGGAGGCAGGGCUGGAACUGCUUAUGUUUGAUGAGAGCUCAUUUUCUCUAGGGAUUUGGCAGUUGGAAUUUGUGUAUCCAAAAAGUGUUUCUAUUUGCUCAUCAUCAAAUCUGAAGAAGAAGAAAGAAGAAAUAAAAGAGAAACAACAACGCAUUAAGGAAUUCCUACUAAGGGAAAUGAUUUAGAGCGUGAAGAAUGGUCAAGGAAUUAAAAUUUAAAAGCAGAAUACCUGAGAGAGCCAUCAAUGAUCUCAUUCCAAACCAUUGAAUGAUCAGCAUUAGCUAUAACUUUAUCCCAGUGCAAUGGCUUUAACUUCAUUUGGCCAACACUAGUCCCUUUUGAGCAUCUUUCUGUUGAAGCUCGUGCUCCACUUUUGUUGUUUGUGUUCCCUUUUUGUGCUGUUGGGGGUCUUAGUGAUGAAACCAAACCGCCAGCCCCAGGUGGAGGAGGUGGUGGUAUAGUCCUCUUUGAUAUUCUUGGUGGUGGUAGUAGUGGAGGAGAAGGACGUGGCGGUGGUGAUGGAGGAGGAGGAGGAGGAGGAG
This 1964-nucleotide unclassified non-coding RNA is filed under the name Hevea brasiliensis (rubber tree). Lineage: Eukaryota; Viridiplantae; Streptophyta; Magnoliopsida; Malpighiales; Euphorbiaceae. The record is from RNAcentral.